UGAGGAAGGUUUUCGGAUUGUAAAGCUCUGUCGAGCGGAAAGAAGUGCAUGGUGGUUAAUAUCCAUCAUGCUUGACGGUACCGCUAAAGGAAGCACCGGCUAACUCCGUGCCAGCAGCCGCGGUAAUACGGGGGGUGCAAGCGUUGUUCGGAAUCAUUGGGCGUAAAGCGCGUGUAGGCGGCUGGACAAGUCAGAUGUGAAAGCCCUGGGCUUAACCCAGGAAGUGCAUUUGAAACUGUUCAGCUAGAGUAAGGGAGAGGAAAGUGGAAUUCCUGGUGUAGAGGUGAAAUUCGUAGAUAUCAGGAGGAACACCGGUGGCGAAGGCGACUUUCUGGCCCUAUACUGACGCUGAGACGCGAAAGCGUGGGUAGCAAACAGGAUUAGAUACCCUGGUAGUCCACGCUGUAAACGAUGUUCACUAGGUGUUGGGGGUAUUGACCCUUCCAGUGCCGCAGCUAACGCAUUAAGUGAACCGCCUGGGGAGUACGGUCGCAAGAUUA
This 500-nucleotide ribosomal RNA is filed under the name uncultured bacterium. RNAcentral's name for it is "bacterial SSU rRNA". It matches the Rfam family "Bacterial small subunit ribosomal RNA", at positions 406 to 896 of the family's 1533-position model. The record is from RNAcentral.